UGGGAAACGGGUCAAGAUUCCCGUACCGGUUGUGAAUGCGAUGGGGGGACGGAGAAGGGUAGCUCAGCGGCCUGUUGGAAUAGGUCGUUUAAGCGUGUAGGAGUGGUCUCCUGGCAAAUCCGGAGAUCUUAUCUGAGGCGUGAUGACGAAGGUCUACGGACCUGAAGUGAGUAAUCCCAAGCUUCCAGGAAAAGCCUCUAAGCUUCAGUUCACAACUGACCGUACCGCAAACCGACACAGGUGGGUAGGUAGAGAAUACCAAGGCGCUUGAGAGAACUCGGGUUAAGGAACUCGGCAAA
This 299-nucleotide ribosomal RNA is filed under the name Laribacter hongkongensis. Its description in RNAcentral is "partial 23S ribosomal RNA". It matches the Rfam family "Bacterial large subunit ribosomal RNA", at positions 1419 to 1721 of the family's 2925-position model. Lineage: Bacteria; Pseudomonadati; Pseudomonadota; Betaproteobacteria; Neisseriales; Aquaspirillaceae. The record is from RNAcentral.